RNAcentral lists this ribosomal RNA (818 nucleotides) under uncultured bacterium. Its description in RNAcentral is "bacterial SSU rRNA". It matches the Rfam family "Bacterial small subunit ribosomal RNA", at positions 76 to 901 of the family's 1533-position model. The record is from RNAcentral.
UUCGGGAGAGCGAGUAGAGCGGCAGACGGGUGAGUAACACGUGGAUAACCUACCCCAGAGCGGGGGAUAACCACCCGAAAGGGUGGCUAAUACCGCAUAAGACCACGGUUUACGAGACAGUGGUAAAAGGCUUCGGCCACUUUGGGAGGGGUCCGCGGUCGAUUAGCUAGUUGGUGAGGUAACGGCUUACCAAGGCGACGAUCGAUAGCUGGUCUGAGAGGAUGAUCAGCCACACUGGUACUGAGACACGGACCAGACUCCUACGGGAGGCAGCAGUGGGGAAUAUUGCGCAAUGGACGAAAGUCUGACGCAGCAACGCCGCGUGGGUGAAGAAGGUUUUCGGAUCGUAAAGCCCUGUCAGAUGGGAAGAAACCUGCUAGUCAGCUGACGGUACCAUCAAAGGAAGCACCGGCUAACUCCGUGCCAGCAGCCGCGGUAAUACGGAGGGUGCAAGCGUUGUUCGGAAUCACUGGGCGUAAAGGGCGCGUAGGCGGCCUGUCAAGUCUGAUGUGAAAGCCCGGGGCUCAACCCCGGAAGUGCAUUGGAAACUGGCAAGCUUGAGUUCGGGAGAGGAGGGCAGAAUUCCUGGUGUAGGGGUGAAAUCCGUAGAUAUCAGGAGGAAAAUCAGUGGCGAAGGCGGCCCUCUGGAACGAAACUGACGCUGAGGCGCGAAAGCGUGGGGAGCAAACAGGAUUAGAGACCCUGGUAGUCCACGCCGUAAACGAUGGAUGCUAGGUGUGGGGAUCAUUAAGGAUUUCCGUGCCGGAGCUAACGCGAUAAGCAUCCCGCCUGGGGAGUACGGUCGCAAGACUAAAACU